GAGUUUGAUCAUGGCUCAGAACGUACGCUGGCGGCACGCCUAACACAUGCAAGUCGAACGAAGUAGCAAUACUUAGUGGCAGACGGGUGAGUAACAUGUAGGUAUCUGCCCUUUGGCCUGGAAUAACACGAGGAAACUUGUGCUAAUACCGGAUAAGUCUUUACGGAGAAAGCUUUAUGCACCAUUGGAUGAGCCUGCACUUGAUUAGUUUGUUGGUGGGGUAAUGGCCUACCAAGACUGUGAUCAAUAGCUGAUUUGAGAGGAUGAUCAGCCACAUUGGGACUGAGACACGGCCCAAACUCCUACGGGAGGCAGCAGUGGGGAAUCUUGCACAAUGGAGGAAACUCUGAUGCAGCGAUGCCGCGUGAGUGAAGAAGGCCCUUGGGUUGUAAAGCUCUUUCGUCGGGGAAGAAAAUGACUGUACCCGAAUAAGAAGGUCCGGCUAACUUCGUGCCAGCAGCCGCGGUAAUACGAAGGGACCUAGCGUAGUUCGGAAUUACUGGGCUUAAAGAGUUCGUAGGUGGUUGAAAAAGUUGGUGGUGAAAUCCCAGAGCUUAACUCUGGAACUGCCAUCAAAACUUUUCAGCUAGAGUAUGAUAGAGGAAAGCAGAAUUUCUAGUGUAGAGGUGAAAUUCGUAGAUAUUAGAAAGAAUACCAAUUGCGAAGGCAGCUUUCUGGAUCAUUACUGACACUGAGGAACGAAAGCAUGGGUAGCGAAGAGGAUUAGAUACCCUCGUAGUCCAUGCCGUAAACGAUGUGUGUUAGACGUUGGAAAUUUAUUUUCAGUGUCGCAGCGAAAGCGAUAAACACACCGCCUGGGGAGUACGACCGCAAGGUUAAAACUCAAAUGAAUUGACGGGGACCCGCACAAGUAGUGGAGCAUGUGGUUUAAUUCGAAGAUACGCGCAGAACCUUACCAACACUUGACAUGUUCGUCGCGACUUUAAGAGAUUAAAGUUUUCGGUUCGGCCGGACGAAACACAGGUGCUGCAUGGCUGUCGUCAGCUCGUGUCGUGAGAUGUUGGGUUAAGUCCCGCAACGAGCGCAACCCUCACUUUUAGUUGCCAUCAUUAAGUUGGGCACUCUGAAAGAACUGCCAGUGAUAAGCUGGAGGAAGGUGGGGAUGACGUCAAGUCCUCAUGGCCCUUACGUGUUGGGCUACACACGUGCUACAAUGGUAUCUACAACAGGAAGCAAGACGGCGACGUCAAGCAAAUCCUUAAAAGAUACCUCAGUUCGGAUUGCACUCUGCAACUCGAGUGCAUGAAGCUGGAAUUACUAGUAAUCGUGGAUCAGCGUGCCACGGUGAAUGCGU
This 1315-nucleotide ribosomal RNA is filed under the name unidentified marine bacterioplankton. RNAcentral describes it as "bacterial SSU rRNA". It matches the Rfam family "Bacterial small subunit ribosomal RNA", at positions 9 to 1371 of the family's 1533-position model. The record is from RNAcentral.